CAGGCACCGAAGAAGGAGAAGGCCCCGACGGUGUCGUCGAAGCCGGCCAAGUCCGGCGGCGGCAAGCAAAAGAAGGAGAAGUGGAGCAAGGGCAAGCAAAAGGAAAAGGUGAACAAUGCGGUGCUCUUCGACCAGGCCACCUACGACAAGCUGCUCACCGAGGUGCCCAAGUACAAGCAGAUCACGCCCUCCGUCCUCUCCAAGCGCCUCAGGGUAACCUCCUCCCUCCCUCCGCCGGAUCUCUUCUUCUUGCUUGCCUCCUUCCUUACUUCUCGUGAGAACCGAGAUCUCCGGACGGUAGGAUAUGUAUGUGAUGCAUCAUGGCUCCUGGUGAAGUGUUCUGCUCUGAGCAAGAACAAGAUCUCUGUUUUGGGGUCAGUCAGUCAGUGGUACCCUGAGCAAGAACAAGGUCACACCAGUGCGCUCUACGCCUGUCUAGAUAGGGCGUAUAUGAUUGUGUUGUGA
This 465-nucleotide ribosomal RNA is filed under the name Triticum aestivum (bread wheat). RNAcentral's name for it is "partial small subunit ribosomal RNA". Lineage: Eukaryota; Viridiplantae; Streptophyta; Magnoliopsida; Poales; Poaceae. The record is from RNAcentral.